Paramuricea clavata is the source of this 356-nucleotide non-coding RNA. NCBI's taxonomy places the organism in Eukaryota, Metazoa, Cnidaria, Anthozoa, Malacalcyonacea, Plexauridae. The record is from the annotation of a GenBank genome assembly.
GCUGCAAUAGACCAAUAUAUAAAUACUUUGCUUGGCUUUGUUGUUAAUAAUGAUAAAGGUCCCAACAUUCCAACCCUUGCCAAACAACCUGAACUUGGGAGGGUUGGAGCCAUGAUGACAUGUGCAAGGAUCCAGGCAGCAUCGCAUGAUUUUGGUGGCUGUUUAUGCGAGCCUGCUUUGCAGGGAUGACCCUGUUUGAAAGGUCUUCUAUAGACUACAGAUGAAAAUUAUUGAGUGGAAAUUUAUAUACAUUUAUUAACGACCCUACUAUAAAAGACCCUUCAACUAUUAUUGAAUCGAGUGAGAAGCCAACAAAAUCUCGAUAUUUUCUCUUCUCAAAAUCUCUUCCUAAGCUG